UUUCUGGACCCAUUCUUCCAGGGAAUCUCUUGUUCUAGGUCUUCUUUGACGGCUUUCUCAAAAGUCUCCAUGAAGCACCCUUUCUUGUGUGCUGGGUAGAAGAUGGACUUAGGUUUAAAGAUGCUACGCUCUCCCUCUUCUUGUGCUGGUUGUUCUUCAAAGAAUUUCUUGAGGGUAGUAUUGAUCAAACCUGCCCGGUAGAGAAACACGUGAAAGGAGUCGAGCAUAAAAGUCAAUAAUGUACAGCACCUGGUAUUCCAAGGUGGUCUCCCAUCCAAGUACUGACCAGGCCUAACACUGCUUAGCUUCCAAGAUCGGGCGGGCAUUGGUCAUUCCCAGUGUGGUAUCGCUGUAUAAAAUUCAAGACAUAUGCUGACUGUACAUAGGUCAAGUACUGUGUACCUCUUGAGGUCACUGAUAGAACCGAACCUGGCACUCGGCGAUGCUCAUCCUGAAUAGUCCACAUAAUAAAACAACUGUCGCAAACUUAAGUGCAGAUACAUGAACCUAGGCACUCAGCGAUGCCCUUAUAACGGAAUCAAUGCCAAACAGAAAAAAUAGCACAUGGCGGUGCACAAGUCACAUUGUUCUUAUCAACCAUUUGUCUAUAGGCAGCAUCCGAGACUGAAAUCCUCAUUGAGGCCCUUUGGGGACAAACGUUUGAGUCUAUGUAUCCAUUGCAGCUCUCUUUGUAUCAAGAUUUUGUUCCUGUCUCCUCCCCUUUGAAGUGGAGGGAUAUGGUCUAUGACAGAGGUGGCCAAAAUGUUGAUCGCGAUCUACCGGUUGAUCGCGAUCUAAGUGUGACUUGCCGCCUCUGCUCGGAGCGUUCCCAAUGAUGCAUUGUGCGGGUGACGUCAGCCGCGCACCCGCGCAAUGCACGAUUGGGAAUGCGAUGUGAGGAGCCUGUGCGCCUGCUGGAUCUGGUUUGAUCCAGCCAGCGCCGGAGGGAAGCAGGAGCAGGCUCGGGAGCAGAAUCCAGCCAGUGGGGAGACAGCCAGCUAAAAAAUGACAAUUGGAGCAUCCAGUGCAUCGGAAGACACCAGCCUUCUUUGAUAGUGGCAUUGUUUACAUUUCUAACCCCGCCCACCUGUCAGGAGUGAUCACCAAUGGAAGCGCUUUCUGAGCUCUCUGGCACUGACCAUGAGUGCACAUGGUUUUGCCCAAUUGCUAACAGAAUUCCUGCUGCAAUCAACUUGGAAUUACCCCCCUAGUGAGGAGUUGUAUUAGCCCCUGAGGAAAACCACAAGUGUGUGGUUGAAACGGCUGUCGGCCCGCUGUUUGUAUCACUUUACUGCUGAUGGACUGACUAAAUCUUUCCCUGCAAAAACGUGAGUGCUGAUCCUGCAUCUUUUCAAAUUACAUGUGGAAAGUGAGUGUUAAUGU
Long non-coding RNA from Pseudophryne corroboree (corroboree frog), 1383 nucleotides. RefSeq lists it as uncharacterized. NCBI's taxonomy places the organism in Eukaryota, Metazoa, Chordata, Amphibia, Anura, Myobatrachidae. The transcript has 4 exons. The record is from RefSeq and is a predicted model, not a curated record.